CCCGCCCGGGCAGCUGUCACAGGCGGCGGCGGCGGUGGCCGGUCCCGCAGGCGGGCGCAGGGGCGGCCCGGGAUGCGGCGCUGAGCGCGGAGCGGCCGGUCACUCCGCGCGGGCUCCUGCGCGCCGCGGUUGCCCUCCCCGCAGCCCAUGAUGUGCCUGGAAAGCGACGGCUCCUCCGGCAGCAGCCCGGGCUGCGGCGGGCGGCUCCGAGCCGGCGAUGAGGAGGAGGAGGAAGACGGCGAGCGGGGCUGCUGCGGCCGGGGCGCUGAGGGCGAGGUGCAGACCCUGUCGGGCAGGAUGAACCCGCCGGCGGCCGGCAAGCACCCCGAGCGCCCGGCCGCCCGCCACAAGGCGCCGAGCCUCGGCCGCGCCCGGGUGGCCGCCGCCGGCAUCCUCAGCGUGGGCAACGUGCUCAACUACCUGGACCGGUACACGGUGGCAGGUGUGUUACUAGACAUCCAGCAACACUUCGGCGUCAAAGACAGCGGGGCUGGCUUAUUGCAGACAGUUUUCAUCUGUAGUUUCAUGGUUGCAGCACCCAUCUUUGGUUACCUUGGUGACCGUUUCAACAGAAAGAUCAUUCUCAGCUGUGGGAUCUUCUUUUGGUCAGCUGUCACUUUUUCAAGCUCCUUCAUCACUGAACAGUAUUUCUGGCUGCUUGUGCUCUCACGAGGCCUGGUUGGCAUCGGCGAAGCAAGUUACUCCACUAUUGCACCAACCAUCAUAGGAGACCUUUUCACCAAAAACACGAGGACCCUGAUGCUGUCUGUUUUCUACUUCGCAAUUCCUCUUGGCAGUGGCUUGGGAUACAUCACCGGCUCAAGCGUGAAGCAGGUUGCUGGAGACUGGCACUGGGCGUUGCGGGUAUCUCCACUCCUGGGAAUGAUAACAGGGACACUCAUCUUGAUAUUUGUGCCUGCUGCUAAAAGAGGAAAUGUUGAACAACUUGGGGGACAGCUGAAGGCACGCACCUCAUGGCUAAGGGACAUGAAAGCCCUGAUUAGGAACCGCAGCUACGUGUUCUCGUCGUUGGCCACCUCAGCCGUCUCCUUUGCCACAGGAGCACUUGGCAUGUGGAUCCCUCUCUACCUGCACAGAGCACAGGUCGUGCAGAAGACAGCGGAGACCUGCAGCUCACAGCCCUGCGGCACCAAAGAUAGCUUGAUCUUCGGAGCAAUCACAUGCUUCACUGGUUUCCUGGGUGUAAUCACAGGGGCUGGAGCUACCAAAUGGUGCCGGUUAAAAACCCAGCGAGCUGAUCCGCUUGUCUGUGCUGUUGGCAUGCUUGGCUCAGCCAUCUUCAUCUGCCUCAUCUUCGUCGCUGCCAAGAGCAGCAUUGUGGGAGCCUAUAUUUGCAUUUUUAUCGGAGAAACUCUUCUGUUUUCAAACUGGGCCAUCACAGCAGACAUACUAAUGUACGUGGUCAUUCCAACACGCCGUGCAACCGCAGUGGCCUUGCAGAGUUUCACAUCGCACCUCCUGGGAGACGCUGGCAGUCCGUACCUGAUUGGAUUUAUCUCAGACCUGAUACGACAAAGCACAAAGGAGUCCCCAGUCUGGGAGUUCCUCAGCUUGGGGUAUGCACUCAUGCUCUGCCCGUUUGUCGUUGUCCUAGGAGGGAUGUUUUUCCUGGCCACAGCCCUCUUCUUCCUAAGUGACCGAGCCAAAGCUGAACAACAUAAUGAAACCGAUUCGGACCACCUCACGGUUGGCAACUACAGUAAUUCAGAAGACGCUUCCACAUGACAUACAAACUUCUGGGGGUGAAUCAGCUUGUGAUGCCACCAGCCUCUGUGAAAGUCUGAGACGUUGCCAGUGAAGGAAACAACAUGUGGACUCCUGGUCCUACCACCACCACACCAAUCUCAAGCUCAAAGCCCUUCCGUACUGGAAACCAGUGGAUCCUCCAGCUCCACACCCCCCUGGAAGGGUUAUCCAGCACCAGACUGAUCACACCAGUCCAGCCUGCGGGGUCAGGCACCAGGAGAUGAGCAAGGCACCCUGGAACACACGUAACUCUUGAGCAAAAGGACGUUCACAGGUUCCUCUGAGCAUCGGAAGCAACUGGACCCACAAUGUGCUACCCAAGUGAGUGACUGUAGAUUGUGUAUAUGGUUUUAGUUGUAGCCAGCGAAGUCCGCAUCAUUUAUAGGGCAACUUACGUCCUACCGAAUGCUGCUGUUCUGUCAGCACUCCCCCACCCCGAGACUGCACUAUUGGGGACCUAUUCUGUACAUCACCUUUUCUUUAACACUGAAGGCUCAAUUCAGAUUAUUAUUUUUUAUUUAAAUAUGUCAUAAGAUGCUUUAUCUCUGCUGAAGACAUUAGAUUUUAUAUAUAUAUAUAUAUAUAUAUAUUUAGAUAAACAGUUUUUAUUUAAACAUUUAAAAUCUGGAGCUGCCUGUGCAACCAUACCAGACAUGAAUAACAUCCACAGCUCUCCUCAUCUCAGUGCCCCGCUCCCUGGCCCUGCAAGGGCACCAUAGGAAGAGUUCCCGUCGGUGACUCCUGUCACCUAAGGCUGAGCAAUGGGACAGAAGAGAGAGUUUCACUGCACUGGAUGUGCUGGUGGUGGUUGUUACAGAAAGGCCCGGGAGAACUUUGGACAGAAAUACCUAGGGGCUGUAGAGUUUGCACAACAUGCUAAACUCAGGCUUGCCUAGGAGGUUCACAGGUUUUUAAAAUACCAAAAUCCAUCUGGCUGAAUGGCUUUACCUGGGACCUGGUAGUGCAAUCCUGCUGUGCCAGUGACAUCACGUAUUGUUUACAUGCAUAUCACAUCACAUCACAUGUAUUGUCAGUGCUGAUUCUCCCUCUGUCAGUAUUUUCCAAGCAGGUGGCUGAUGCUCCACUGUCACCGUUUCCUUUGGAACAAUGCUGAGGUUCAGUGCCUGCCCAUCCCCAGUCCCAGACUUUUCUCUUUUUCCUGUCUAGAUGUCUCCCACAGUUUAGAUACUCUGCUCCCAUUUAGCACACACUUCAAACAGGUGAAUGCAGCUCACACUUGUGCUUAACAAGUGGCUGCAGGUGUGCUGCAAGUAGGACUAAAUCAGCAAAGAAAAUGCCAAACUGGGACUGGAUGUGAAUUAAGUCUGGCAGCUGGCUGUCUGAUUGUGGCCUAAGUUUGUUCACAGACACAGGAAGGUACCGUUAGUAGCUCUGGGGUUUAUCUCCCAUUCACGUCCAGGAUGUGCUAGGACAGCACUGUAGUGGAGAUGGUCAGUAAUUCCAGGUACCAGUGAACUGGUCAGUACUCACCACAGAACCAGUCUGUGCCCAAGCAGAUGGGUUCUGAGGUGACUCCUGUAACAAUGUGAGCCUUUCCACUUCAUCAGACUCCGCAGAACUCUUCUGCAAAGGUUGCUCUGUCACAUAAAACACCUUAACAAUAGCUUUAAGAUUUGGCUAAACAAUUAGAGCCAGAAAUUUUCCUUGAGUGCCUGGGCAUCCUCUGCAGAACAGCAAGUGGGUGCUAGAAAUAAUAAAGCAAAGCAAAUCCAAAACUGUGCUUCAUUUCCCACCUCGUGCCACUAUUUACAUGUGUAGGGGAAAUACGCCUCUGUAGUCUAGGAGCCAAACACUUGGCUUUAAAGGCACAUGAAUUUCUGAUUCCCAUUAAGAAAUUUCUUAUUAAGCUGUUUAAAAAGAAACAAAAAACAACCUAACAAUCAGUCAUUCCAUCUCAGAGACCAAAGAAGAUUAGCCACAUUUCAUAAGUUGCGUUUAGUGUCAACAAAAUGAAGCAUUCCUGCUCGACUUCAGAGAUUAGGAAUUGUCCUUAACCUUAAUUCUCAGGAGUCAACAAUGAAAGGGAACUUCAGUGUUCUGUAGUUUGGGUAGCUCUCCCUGUUCAUGACAAGCCCCAGCCCUGUUAGAGAAGCACAGCGCAGUUACAGGAGGCCAGCUUUAGCUUUUGGGCAGAGGAAGGAAAUUGCUGUGGCUUUCUUUUUAACGAGGAAAGAGGGAAGGAAGCAAGGGAGGGAGAAGUGAGUCCUACCUGCAGCAGUUUCACACCAAGGGAUCCCCAAAUCCCUGCUCCCAUGUGUUCCAGGCUGAGAGGGAAGCCAAAGCAGAGCUAUGACAGCUCAGAGGAGAGGAACAGAAGGGAAAGCUGAGAUACGUGCUGCUGAGGUGCUGUAUAAACACAUGAUGGUUUGUUUCUGUACUCUAGUAGAGGUCAGAAGUUCCCCAUUAUUAAAGACUUAGAGUACUUUAUUAUACUGGUGCUGGACUAUCAUGCGUGUUUCCUCUAUGACUCCGAUUUAGGCAGGUGUGGAUGUAACCAGGCUCAGAAGCUGUUUGGGCCAGUUGGUUGUUGACUUUGUGGAGCAGUGGAACAAUAUCUGUUAUGCACACAGGAAGUGUUUCUGGAAUGAGAAGUCUAGAAUGAAUGCAUAUUCCUUAUAUCCAAGCUGAGUGAGAACCCUCAUUAAAAUUAGUAUUUCCGUUUUUGUAAAGAAAGGCUGUUAAUAGGAAAAGAUAAUUAAUUUUUAAAAAAAGAAUACACAUAUUUUAGUAUCCAUCACACCAAAUUAAGCAAGAUUCCACCUCAUCACUUAAGUAGAUGUUCAAGUCAUCAGGUAUAUCUUUGUGGUUCUAAACUUCAACACAAAAUUAAAUAGUCCCAAUAAGGACAGAAGUACCUUUAAAGCCACUGAUCUCUUGCACACAAAAUAAUUUCAUGUGAAUGUCUGAAAAUUAGAGGACACAAACAGGAGCUGCUGUGUCUUGCCCCGACUCCCUGGUACCCACUGCCUCACGCUGUUCCUCAGGGCUGCGACGGGUCCUCCCCGGUGCUCUCCCCUUUCACAGCCCAGCAAAGAGAGAACCGCGGCGUGAGUAAACCCUACAAAGGACUGGCUGUACUCUGGGGAGCAGAGUUCCUCUCUGCACCUUCCAUCCUAAUUGUUUGUCUUCUCCGUUUGCUUGAUUGUUUGGUAAAACAGCACUUACGAUCACUUUUGCUACGUGAUGUACGGGAGUAUAUAGUAUAUUUUCUUGUUAUACAAGGGACAAAUAUAAAAUAGUUUUCUGAUUUCUUUCAGAAGCAAAUGACUAUUUUAUUUUUUAAGCGCAAUUGAUUGUGAAUCUCAGAGUAUAAAAACAGAUAAAUAAGCCAAAUAUAUACCUUUAUGUAAAUUAAGAAAUAAAAGUAUUUAAAACAUA
Molecule: RNA transcript, 5166 nt
Organism: Columba livia (rock pigeon)
Lineage: Eukaryota; Metazoa; Chordata; Aves; Columbiformes; Columbidae
Gene name: sphingosine-1-phosphate transporter SPNS2
Exons: 14
Source: RefSeq, a predicted model, not a curated record